RNAcentral lists this ribosomal RNA (508 nucleotides) under uncultured bacterium. RNAcentral describes it as "partial 16S ribosomal RNA". It matches the Rfam family "Bacterial small subunit ribosomal RNA", at positions 28 to 523 of the family's 1533-position model. The record is from RNAcentral.
GAUGAACGCUAGCUACAGGCUUAACACAUGCAAGUCGAGGGGAAACGAUAUUGGAAGCUUGCUUCCGUUAGGCGUCGACCGGUGCACGGGUGAGUAACGCGUAUCCAACCUGCCCACCACUUGGGAAUAACCUUGCGAAAGUAAGACUAAUGCCCAAUGAUAUCUCUAGAAGACAUCUGAAGGAGAUUAAAGAUUUAUCGGUGAUGGAUGGGGAUGCGUCUGAUUAGCUUGUUGGCGGGGUAACGGCGCACCAAGGCGACGAUCAGUAGGGGUUCUGAGAGGAAGGUCCCCCACAUUGGAACUGAGACACGGUCCAAACUCCUACGGGAGGCAGCAGUGAGGAAUAUUGGUCAAUGGGCGAGAGCCUGAACCAGCCAAGUAGCGUGCAGGAUGACGGCCCUAUGGGUUGUAAACUGCUUUUAUAAGGGAAUAAAGUUAGUCUCGUGAGACUUUUUGCAUGUACCUUAUGAAUAAGGACCGGCUAAUUCCGUGCCAGCCGCCGCCGUAA